UGGGCGGUCGCCAAGUGGUAAGGCACGGGUCUUUGGAACCCGCAUUCGUAGGUUCGAGUCCUACCCGCCCAG
Molecule: transfer RNA, 72 nt
Filed under: Candidatus Poribacteria bacterium
Lineage: Bacteria; Candidatus Poribacteria
Description: tRNA-Gln
Rfam family: tRNA
About the family: Transfer RNA (tRNA) molecules are approximately 80 nucleotides in length. Their secondary structure includes four short double-helical elements and three loops (D, anti-codon, and T loops).
Source: RNAcentral